AAUGAACGCUGGCGGCGUGCCUAACACAUGCAAGUCGGAUGUGCCGCAAGGUGCAUGGCCGACGGGUGAGUAACGCGUAGGGAAUCUACCUUUUUGUGGGGAAUAACGCUCCGAAAGGAGUGGUAAUACCGCAUGAGACCGUGAGCUGGGAUGUUCACGGUGAAACCUGGGGACCGCAAGGCCUGGGGCAAAAAGAGGAUCCUGCGUCUGAUUAGCUAGUUGGCGGGGUAAUGGCCCACCAAGGCGACGAUCAGUAGCCGGCCUGAGAGGGUGAUCGGCCACACUGGAACUGAGACACGGUCCAGACUCCUACGGGAGGCAGCAGUGGGGAAUUUUGCGCAAUGGACGAAAGUCUGACGCAGCAACGCCGCGUGGGUGAUGAAGGUCUUCGGACUGUAAAACCCUGUCGUCAGGGACGAAGGUGGCAGUGUUAAUAGCGCUGUUACUUGACGGUACCUGGAGAGGAAGCCCCGGCUAACUCGGUG
Molecule: ribosomal RNA, 485 nt
Filed under: uncultured bacterium
Lineage: Bacteria
Description: partial 16S ribosomal RNA
Rfam family: Bacterial small subunit ribosomal RNA
Source: RNAcentral